AACUUUCCGACACUAAAACCAUAUUUGUCGACACUAUUUGAAGGUGGGCUCAAAUUUGAUUGAGCCUCGGCUCUAUACAAACCACCCCCGAAACGAAAAUGGUGAUCCACGUCAGAAUCGCCCCACUUGGGUCGGAUUUUGCACUGGCCAUUCCGGAUCCUCUCAUAUACCGGGAUUCGCUGGGUUCCCCUCCCACUGGAUCGUCGAUUCUAUUGCUGCAAAUGGGUGAUUUUCUACAGUAGAGUUCGUGGAUACAGUAAAAGCCCCAAUUAUUGAUGCUAUAGUGAACCCGUGAGCCCUUUUUCAUGGAUUUGGAUAAGUUGGAUAUAUUUUUUAAGCUUUUCAAACAAUUAUUGGAUCUAGAUUAUUUAAAUUCCUCUAUAAAAAUAUUUCAUUGAUUGAAUAAACACACAUGUAUAUUUUCAUGAUCGAUUUGGUGCUCGAAAUUGGGGUUUUUUUUUUUUUUUUCUUGUUUUCUAAAAAAUCCGCCAUUUCUUCCAUUUUGAUGGAAAUCGUUUGUUUCUUGGUUCAAAUUGAAGCUAUGAUUCCUCCACCAAAUAAUUAUGCUACUUCUUCUGACUAAACGAGUCUAUCAAAUUUGGAUCGAAAGCUAGGGUUCCUGAAUCAUUCACGAAAAACAAAAAUUUUGAUCGACAACAUUGUUUUUGGUGUAUUUCGUUCGAAUUUCAUUGGGGUUUUUGAUUUACAGAGCCUUUAUUUUAACCUAAAUCAGGUAAUGUUUUUUUUCUUUAGUUUUGUAUAUCAUUUUCGACGACUUAUUUUUUACUAGCAUGUUCUACGAAAUNNN
This 808-nucleotide long non-coding RNA is filed under the name Amborella trichopoda. RNAcentral's name for it is "long non-coding RNA (ATRI_LNC004993)". The record is from RNAcentral. Lineage: Eukaryota; Viridiplantae; Streptophyta; Magnoliopsida; Amborellales; Amborellaceae.